RNAcentral lists this unclassified non-coding RNA (276 nucleotides) under Hevea brasiliensis (rubber tree). The record is from RNAcentral. Lineage: Eukaryota; Viridiplantae; Streptophyta; Magnoliopsida; Malpighiales; Euphorbiaceae.
AUCGAAUACAGCUUACGGGGGCCAAUUGUUGUCGUUUUUAGUGCAUUUUAUAUUGGGUCAUGCAUGUGCGUUUUUGCUUGGCCUCAUAUGGGUGCACAUGGAUACUCUUCCAACUCCUUCGUUCAAUUAUGAGCUCCCAAGAUUCUCCUACCCUCCCCAAAUUUCAUAAUCCACCACACCACAUCAAUUUUAGUAUCUUCUCAUCUAUGAUCUUGCCAUGUCACCCACCUGCAAUCUCACUGGUGUACUUUGAUAUAGCGGCUAGAUGCAUCAAAG